ACUCAAAGGAAUUGACGGGGGCCCGCACAAGCGGUGGAGCAUGUGGUUUAAUUCGAAGCAACGCGAAGAACCUUACCAAGGCUUGACAUCCCUUUGACCGGGCUAGAAAUAGCCCUUCCCUUUUGGGCAGAGGUGACAGGUGGUGCAUGGUUGUCGUCAGCUCGUGUCGUGAGAUGUUGGGUUAAGUCCCGCAACGAGCGCAACCCUUAUUUUCAGUAGCCAUCGUUUAAGGCGGGCACACUGGAGAGACUGCCGUGGAUAACACGGAGGAAGGUGGGGACGACGUCAAAUCAUCAUGCCCCUUAUGUCUUGGGCUACACACGUGCUACAAUGGCCCAUACAAUGUGAUGCAACCCGGCGACGGCAAGCAAACCACAAAAAAAGGGCCUCAGUUCGGAUUGCAGCCUGCAACUCGGCUGUAUGAAGUCGGAAUCGCUAGUAAUCGCGAAUCAGCAUGUCGCGGUGAAUACGUUCCCGGGCCUUGUACACACCGCCCGU
This 498-nucleotide ribosomal RNA is filed under the name uncultured bacterium. RNAcentral's name for it is "bacterial SSU rRNA". It matches the Rfam family "Bacterial small subunit ribosomal RNA", at positions 899 to 1397 of the family's 1533-position model. The record is from RNAcentral.